RNAcentral lists this ribosomal RNA (504 nucleotides) under uncultured bacterium. RNAcentral describes it as "partial 16S ribosomal RNA". It matches the Rfam family "Bacterial small subunit ribosomal RNA", at positions 30 to 523 of the family's 1533-position model. The record is from RNAcentral.
AUUGAACGCUGGCGGCAUGCCUUACACAUGCAAGUCGAACGGCAGCACAGAGAGCUUGCUCUCUGAUGGCGAGUGGCGAACGGGUGAGUAAUGCAUCGGAACGUACCGUGUAAUGGGGGAUAACGUAGCGAAAGUUACGCUAAUACCGCAUACGACCUGAGGGUGAAAGCAGGGGAUCGCAAGACCUUGCGUUAUACGAGCGGCCGAUGUCAGAUUAGCUAGUUGGUGAGGUAAAGGCUCACCAAGGCGACGAUCUGUAGCGGGUCUGAGAGGAUGAUCCGCCACACUGGGACUGAGACACGGCCCAGACUCCUACGGGAGGCAGCAGUGGGGAAUUUUGGACAAUGGGGGCAACCCUGAUCCAGCCAUGCCGCGUGAGUGAAGAAGGCCUUCGGGUUGUAAAGCUCUUUCGGCCGGGAAGAAAUCGCACAGGCUAAUACUCUGUGUGGAUGACGGUACCGGCAUAAGAAGCACCGGCUAACUACGUGCCAGCAGCCGCAGUAA